RNAcentral lists this ribosomal RNA (410 nucleotides) under uncultured microorganism. RNAcentral describes it as "bacterial SSU rRNA". It matches the Rfam family "Bacterial small subunit ribosomal RNA", at positions 509 to 917 of the family's 1533-position model. The record is from RNAcentral.
CAGCCGCCGCGGUAAUACGUAGGGUGCGAGCGUUAAUCGGAUUUACUGGGCGUAAAGCGUGCGCAGGCGGCCCGUUAAGACAGGUGUGAAAUCCCUGGGCUCAACCUAGGAAUUGCGCUUGUGACUGGCGGGCUCGAGUACGGUAGAGGGGGGUGGAAUUCCUGGUGUAGCAGUGAAAUGCGUAGAGAUCAGGAGGAACACCGAUGGCGAAGGCAGCCCCCUGGGCCUGUACUGACGCUCAUGCACGAAAGCGUGGGGAGCAAACAGGAUUAGAUCCCCUGGUAGUCAACGCCCUAAACGAUGGGUACUAGCCGUUUGGUGCGCGAUAGCGCUGAGUGGCGAAGCUAACGCGUGAAGUACCCCGCCUGGGGAGUACGGCCGCAAGGUUGAAACUUAAAGGAAUUGGCGGG